AUUGAACGCUGGCGGCAUGCCUUACACAUGCAAGUCGAACGGUAACAGGUCUUCGGAUGCUGACGAGUGGCGAACGGAUGAGUAAUACAUCGGAACGUGCCCGAUCGUGGGGGAUAACGGAGCGAAAGCUUUGCUAAUACCGCAUACGAUCUACGGAUGAAAGCAGGGGACCGCAAGGCCUUGCGCGGACGGAGCGGCCGAUGGCAGAUUAGGUAGUUGGUGGGAUAAAAGCUUACCAAGCCGACGAUCUGUAGCUGGUCUGAGAGGACGACCAGCCACACUGGGACUGAGACACGGCCCAGACUCCUACGGGAGGCAGCAGUGGGGAAUUUUGGACAAUGGGCGAAAGCCUGAUCCAGCCAUGCCGCGUGCAGGAUGAAGGCCUUCGGGUUGUAAACUGCUUUUGUACGGAACGAAAAGACUCUUUCUAAUAAAGAGGGUCCAUGACGGUACCGUAAGAAUAAGCACCGGCUAACUACGUG
This 482-nucleotide ribosomal RNA is filed under the name uncultured bacterium. Its description in RNAcentral is "partial 16S ribosomal RNA". It matches the Rfam family "Bacterial small subunit ribosomal RNA", at positions 30 to 507 of the family's 1533-position model. The record is from RNAcentral.